Molecule: long non-coding RNA, 253 nt
Filed under: Mytilus galloprovincialis (Mediterranean mussel)
Lineage: Eukaryota; Metazoa; Mollusca; Bivalvia; Mytilida; Mytilidae
Source: RNAcentral
ACAUUGUUUUUGAAGCGAGUAACAAACUGUCGUCAUUUGCCCGCGGUUUUAUCUUUCGGUUUUCUCGGGACAUAUCGUCAUGAUAGUGAUAAGCCAUAUAUACCGAAUGGACUGCAAAGAUUUGUUAAGGGGAAUUCUAAUUGGUUUAAAAAGUCACGUGUGAAAUCGUCAGAAGUGAAAUUACAUAUUGAUAGUUGUUUGAUCUCAUAUGUAGUAUAACGUAAUCAGAGAUCAAUAUUUUAAUUAGAUUGUC